RNAcentral lists this ribosomal RNA (460 nucleotides) under uncultured bacterium. Its description in RNAcentral is "partial 16S ribosomal RNA". It matches the Rfam family "Bacterial small subunit ribosomal RNA", at positions 338 to 795 of the family's 1533-position model. The record is from RNAcentral.
GCUACGGGGGGCAGCAGUGAGGAAUAUUGGUCAAUGGACGCAAGUCUGAACCAGCCAUGCCGCGUGCAGGAAGACGGCUCUAUGAGUUGUAAACUGCUUUUGUACGAGGGUAAACGCAGAUACGCGUAUCUGUCUGAAAGUAUCGUACGAAUAAGGAUCGGCUAACUCCGUGCCAGCAGCCGCGGUAAUACGGGGGAUUCAAGCGUUAUCCGGAUUUAUUCGGUUUAAAGGGUGCGUAGGCGGUCGGAUUAGUUAGAGGUGAAAUCCCGAGGCUCAACUUCGGAAUUGCCUAUGAUACUGUUCGGCUAGAGAGUAGUUGAGGUAGGCGGAAGGUAUGGUGUAGCGGUGAAAUGCUUAGAUAUCAUACAGAACACCGAUUGCGAAGGCAGCUUACCAAGCUACUUCUGACGUUGAGGCACGAAAGCGUGGGGAGCAAACAGGAUUAGAUACCCGGGUAGUC